Molecule: transfer RNA, 64 nt
Filed under: Trichonephila clavata
Lineage: Eukaryota; Metazoa; Arthropoda; Arachnida; Araneae; Nephilidae
Description: tRNA-Met
Source: RNAcentral
AAAUUUUACAUUUAAUUUUAUAAAAGUAUUUAAUUUAUUUUUAAAUAAGAUAUGUUAAAAAUUA